Sinocyclocheilus grahami is the source of this 243-nucleotide long non-coding RNA. RefSeq lists it as uncharacterized. The transcript is spliced from 3 exons. The record is from RefSeq and is a predicted model, not a curated record. NCBI's taxonomy places the organism in Eukaryota, Metazoa, Chordata, Actinopteri, Cypriniformes, Cyprinidae.
UGUAGGUCACUGUUCGAGCUUGUCUUGGCCAAUGAAUAUCUGGAGCUCACAGAUCCAAAGUUGCUUGGAUGGUUCCUAUGUUUAACAGCAGAGGACAGAACCUUAAUUAAAAAAGAGGGAGGGCUUCUGCCAUUUUUACAGAAACACCCAGCACUUCAAGUAGACAGACAGUAUGUGUAUGUGAAAUCAAAAACCAGAGGAAACUGCAUUCCCCCUCCAACAACUAUGUCAUCAAAUGAGUAA